GUUACUAUAAAAAUGAUAUCCCUGACUGUAAUUAUUUUACUUUGUAAUUUAUAGUCGUAAAUAUCAUAUUUUUCUAACAGUGCGAUUGUGCCGCGAUCUCCGUUACGUAUCUUCUUUUCUCCUCCACCCGUGCGAGCUUGCAUGCGCAAAUAGCUGUGUAUUAGGUGUAUAUUCGCCCUAAUUUUGCCAGAGGACUAGAUUUUCAAGCCGGCACAAAUCGCCCGUUAACGACAAUAAUUUCUCAAGACUUUUACUACUCUCUUUAAUAUCUUGAAAUUUCUUUUAUUUUUUAAGGCGUUUGGCUAAUUUGAGACUUCCUGUCGAUAUCGACUAUCUUAUUAUUCUAUUGUGCAUGACUAAAAAAUUAGAUCAUGCGCUUUCUUUCCAAUGGAUUUCCGGUUUAGCUUGUCUAAAUGCGCGUUACUUGCGCGCAUGAGAAGAAUACAAAUGUGCCGUCGUACAGGAACGUAUAAUUCACCUGCAUAUAAAUCGUUAUGUUAACAUGGCUCUUUCACGAGAAAAUUUGAAAUUAUUUUUUUACAUACAACCUUGACCUGAGAUUUAGUGUAAUAAUGCAAAAAAGAUUAAAUGUUGUUAUAAUAUAAAACGAUUAUUACAAUUACAUUGAAAAAAGAGUUUGAUAAUAGCGAUCAAAUGUUAAGUUAAAUAAUGAAACAAUUAAAUAUUUAAUUAUAUAACCAAGCAUAACUUUACUUUUCUAAAUACUCACUAAGUAAUGCAAAUAUAUUUAAUAAUAUUGACUAAAUAUUAGAAAGGUAAAAUUAUUUUUGAUCAUAUUAAUCGAAUAUUUCUUAUAUUGACGUUGUUUGAUUCAACAUGCUAUUACUAUAUUAUGUAGUAUUAUGUAGUAAGUAUUAAACUACUAAAUGUAUUUUAUUAUUUCUUGAUGGCAAGCACAUAUUAUGAGGAAUAAGCAUUUGUCAUAAAACGCUGAAAAAUUUGACAGCUUCUACAAAUCUGCAAAUAUAGUCGCGAUGUAACGCGAAUACAUCUUGAAUUUCGCACCGUUCACUUAGCUUUACUGUCUGCCUCGUCAUUUUCAGAAAUGUAUGAAUCUUCGGUGCUGCAUUUCGCGGUGUAAAGUUCUUUUCCUCUACCUCGAGGUACGUCAGGCGCGGAACGGUGAAUUUGCAUAAUGCGGAUAAUUUAUUAACGUUGUACGCAUUCGCCGAUGAAAUUGCGUGCACGCUUUUCCUUUUGGACAUGUCGAUAGUUUUAUCGAUUUGAAUAUUUCUGUAGUGUUGGUCGUCAGGGCUGCACGCGGAGAAAAUAUAUUGAAUCGAGAAAAACAUGUUGUUUCGAAAAAUAAUACGUUAAAUUUUUAAUGAAUUUUUCUAAUAAUAUAUUAUUUUAAUAAUAAUAAUUUUAAUAUUAAUCUUUGAAUUUCUAAAUGUCGAAAAAAAUUGAAAUCAAUUAUCUUUUAGUGUACGGUAUAUUUUUUUACUUUUAUACGACUUUUGUCGUACUUUACUGUACGGCAGGAUUCUUAUUAAAAUUCUUAUUAAGAUCCAAGUUGCGCUCCGGCUCGUAUUUUUCCGUGGUUUUUUUUAUCCCUUUGAAGCUUUUGGACGGAGAAGCGGCAACAUUUCCCCGGGCCGGACAUUGCCUCUUGGACUCGCGCGGCGACCGGCGUAUGCAUAUGCAUUAUGCAAACGACGAAAUGAGGAGUCAGAGUUCGCGGUCGCGCGAACCGGAACGCGCGCGGGGGAAAAACGCGUGUCAUCGUUUCUCGCGCUUAACCCUUAACAAGACGGUUGGCCGGUAAACCAUGCACCGGAGAUUACGCGUAGCGAUAAGGACCGAGCGUAUAAAAGAGCGUAAAAUACAUGCGACUUAAGGUAGAAUAUGCUCAUUGGAGUUCCCGCUGACGUCUGUCAGUGGCUGUGCACGUGGCACGCUCGCGGCAAGCGGCGGAUUUCUCCGUUUUCCGGUAGAAAAAAGAAAGGGAAAAACUUCCGCAUUUAAUUCGGAGUAAUUUUAGAAAAACGAAAGUUAAUCUGGCCGAAUCGAAAUAAUGGAUGUAUAUUCAUCCGAGACCGAGACUUUCUCCUGUGCGAGGCGGAUAUCCUUAACAAAGUUAAGUCUGGAUUUGUGUUUGGAAUGAGAUGUGUGAUUUCGAACGAGAUUGCCAUGUUUUUCGCGCACAAUAUGCAAGGCUGGUUAUCGGGCUAUAUCUCGCGAGAUACGCGAGAAGAUUAGUGGGGAAACACGGAAAGGCAAGAUGUACGGAAAUGGUUUACAUUAUUGAACAUCAAAUUAGAUAUAAAAGAGCGUCGGAUACUUACUUAGGAAAAUGUCUCAAACACAUUAUACGUCUAUCAAAAUUGAACUGAUUUUUUUUGCAGCAAAAAAUUCGAAAGUCUAAUUACGUAGGAAUUAAUUACUUCGCGCCGGAUAAUAAUUAUUUGUUGAAAAAAAAAAGUUAGCGUUACGACAACGUGCGUACGAUGUUUGUUCUUGAUAGCCUCCUAGACGGUUAACGAUAAUAGGUACAUCUGAGAAAUUUCCGAGGAGGACUCCGCGCUGCGGUGAAAUCGUUUGUGUGCCGGUUUCGCAACGGCCUGCAAGCCGCGCGCAGUUGAGUCAGGCGUGUAGCUUUUCAAGUUUCUAUCGCGCGCGCAGACCACCACGGGCGUCGAUGAACUCUCGGUGCGAGGAUGUUGUUGAACUGUCGGGGGUAAUAAGAUAUUAUUCUUCGGUCGAGCGGCGAAUACGAUAAUGGACACCGGUACCUCUGCCUUUAUGUAAUCGCCGCACGCGACGAGGGCACGGAGGGUACUAAAGCUGGUGCCGUGAGGUGGCGAAAACGUACAUUUUUCCCGUCAAGGUUGACGUGUCUUACAGAAAAAAAUUUACAUUUCGGACUUUGCGUCGCGAUAUCCCCGCUCAUAAGGUACAUUGAGGAAAGAUGAACAGUUUUAUGAUACAUAUAGAGCCGUUUCUACCAACGCAGAUUAACUUUAAUCUCAGUUUAAUUUACUUGUUAUCUCAUUCUAGUUCCAAAAAGUUAGAAAGAGAUAAAGAGUAAGUUAAUCCGAGAUUAAAGUUAAUUUACGUUGGUAGAAAUGGGCCUUACAAGUUAUCUAUCGAUUAAGCCUAGUUAGAACUUGACCGUUGUUUUCAAAAUUUGACAAUCUCGGAUGUUCGCAACUCUCGCCGGCAAUUACAGUGAGUAUGGCUCUCAAUAUGGUAUUCACAUUAUUCACAAUGGCGAUCUAAAUUGGGAUUGUCCUCUCUAACUACACUUUCUUUACUUGUUAUCUAUUUUCUUCUUUUCUUUGGAGAGCAAACGCACUUUAAGUCACUCACUUUAAGUGUAGAAAGCGUUGGGGGGGGGGGAAGGAGGGAAAAAAUCGCUGGAUAGAGCGCAUUUGAUAUGCUAACGAGGUGCCGGGGAAAGAAUUCACAUUAGCGAGUUUUUGUAACGUUAUUGAGGCUCUCUGCGAAGUAUAUAACGAGAAUUUCUAGAAUAUAAUUGAAAAGCAUCAGUAACGAGAACAUGGCCAUUAGUACAAGUCAAACGUACGGAGUCAGUUGCUUCUCUUUUCCCCCUUUUAUCUUUUUACUCUUACAACCGAUGUAACGCUGGAGAAUUAUCAGCCAGGGGUCCGCGACACACUGGCUUACAUAAGGUUUCGCAUACCUCCGCGUAUACACCUCCGUAGGACGAAGGAUAAUACAAGCACGGGCGUGAGCGUGUGUGCGAGGACCGGUCCGUAAAAGGAGGGCAGUCAGGCUUUGGGGGUCGAAUUUUGAAUCACCAAUUUCCAUUUGUCCCUGGGCAAUGAAUGUUCCGGCUCCUUAUAAUUGAAUUAACUGUUUGAUUGCGCGCUUUACACGAGAAACGAACGGCUCGCAUAACAUUGUGAUCGAUAUUUUCGCCAUGCGUAGGGAAAAUUAAACGAAUUAAAAGUGUGUUACGAAUUUACAUUUAUAUAACGGCGUAAUAUUAUUAAUUCUGAUAUAAUGUAAUUUUUAUUAAUAGCAGGAGUCGUUUUAAAAGUCACGAUUAAAUAAGUAGUACACAUUUUAAUUUGUAAAUUUUAUUUUUAUAGAAAGCGUUGUAUAACAAGGGGGAACUUUACAAGUUUAAUAAAAUAUUCAAUAUUUUUCAUACUUAUUAUUCCGGUAUCUUUAAAAAUAAGAGGAUUGCAACUGGUUUUACGUGCUCUGCACGUGCGAUUAUUGAUGGGAGAAAUGAUAGAUCAUAAAAUCAAGAAAGUAAAAUCCAGCUGCAUCAUCGAGCGUUGUCGUAUGCUGCGGGUAAUCAUUAGAUGACUUAAGUAGGCGUCUAAUCGUUAGUUGCGACUCGUAAUAAUAAAGACAUACGUCGUUGGUUCUCCUGAAAAAAAAAAAAAAAAAAAAAAAAAAAAAAAAAAAGAACCAUAAAGGAAGAUUGUCAUUUUUGAUUAUGUAUGAAGCGAUAAUACACAGAAUAGUUGUCUCCCAACAAAGGAGUCAAAACAGCGUACGUUUCCUCUUUAACGAUUGCGUAACUUCUCGCUCGCACAUGGGACAUAAAUAAAAGCGCCUGAGUCAUAAAUAAUGACGCUAAUUUUCCACCGCGAAUGGUUUUUCGCGAAACGCGAAACUAGGCGAGCCGCGCGCAUCAGCUGAUCCGAGAGAUCGUCGCGAGAUUAGUUUCUCGCGGACUCGGAGAACUUCCACGGAGAUAGCGAUCGUUCAUUUCAACUACCACCGCAGGACAAAGUCGUUUUCGUGCUCGUUAGGAAAUACCACCGCGUUGCUACCGAUUUCUACUUUUUUUUUUCCUUUAACGUGACACCCGACGUAAUCUUGCAAUGUUAUGACUGCGAGAGCCACGCAAAUGUACGGGCAUUCUCGAUGGUGAUGGCCCGAGGAAGCCGAUGUCUGGGCAGGCGAAGCGAAUGUAGCAUAACAAAUUACGCAAGUAUCUCUCUUUCUCUUUCUCUCCUCUCUCAACGACGCGAUGCGCGCGCGUAUAAAACAUUCUUCGUGCCUCCGUUCGCUCUUACUUUUUGCCGGGAGGAUCGGGCGGCUGCUUUCUUUUCCGCGUGUUAAAGGGAUUUGCUUGCUCGGAAACGCGGGCACAAUAAUUAUCGCCGUUCGCUAUUGCGAUUCACGGAACGUUCGACGUUAUCCCUCGCGAAAAGUGGUCUUUCUCCAGGAUUCCUUUUAACCUUUUUCCCUUUAACGAUUCGCCGACGAUCGUCGCGGCGACGAUCUUCCCGACGGGAUUGAGAACGUCGCGCGGCGAGAAGAUGGCGAUCGUUAAAUCGCGCGGGACACGACUACACCGCGGAACUAACGCGCGAGACUGAACUGACGCGCGCGUUUCUUUCUUUCUUUCCCCGACGACUUGGUCUCGCGCCAUUGUAUCAGCUGUCCUCCUUUUAAUGGCGGGCGGAAUUACGAGGCUGCGUUUAAUUGAGAACCGACGGCGUGGCGGCGCGAACUCGAAUCGCGCGCCGAGGAUAACGGUGCGUUUUUAUUACCUCGUUGGCCUGGAACAAUCGACAAGUCGGAUUCGCUCCGGCCGGCCCGGCUCCGAUCGGGGCAUUUUUCCAUUUCUACGUCCGGUGCGGAAGUAUGAUCCGGCUACGUGUGAUACUUCCUCGAGAUUUCAUUGGCGACCAUUCGUCUGCGCGAGAGUGUUAAUUUUGACCCAAUUGGAUAAAAUUUCCAUUUUUGUAAUUGGUUAGCGGCGAGCACGCGCGCGCGCGCAUAUAACGGGAAAUUCUCAAUUAAAUUAAUUUGCUUCGAUUUUAUUAUUAUUAUUAAAAUUCCUUGGCGUGCCGCAUUGCAUAAUGCAUUUGCGAUGCAUUACUUGUAUAAAUAAUUUUGCUCGGUUUUUAAAUAUAGGCUUUCUUUUUGUUAAAAUGGAAAAUUAUUACUAGAAAAACUUGGAAUUUUAAGGAAAUUUAUUUAUUUAUCCUUGAAAAUUUAUGUAUUUUUAUUUGAUUUAUUAUGAUUUUAUAAUACUCAGGAAAAAUUUUAAAAUACUUAUAAAUUUUAAUUCUAUUUUUUUCUGGUAAAAUGAUCUGAUUCUUUUAUAAUGCAAAAUUGAUUAGUAAUAAAUAUGGCAUACAUAUCCGCAUACGUUUUCAUAUAACUCGCAAUUUUUUAUUUAAAAACUUAGUAACAGUACAGCGUUCUAAAUUGGGAUAAUGUAUUUAAUCAUCUUUCUAUAUUUCCGGUGAGUUAGAUCGGAUAUUGCGGACAGAUCUUUACAGAUCGUUACAUACCAUUUAGUUCACACAUAUUUCUUUAAACAAUUUUUUUAAUUUUAAACUUUAAAACUUUAAACAAUUAACAUUUAAAAUUUAAAUAAUUUUUUUGUUAUUGUACGAUUAAGAAACAAAAAAUGUAUACAAUAUAAUAAAGCAAUUUUUUUAUAUUAGUUACAUUGAACAAUUCUGUAAUCUCACAUGGAAUUUUGAAUAAACUUCCUGGAAAAUCCGGGAAUUCUUUAACAAAAUUUCAGCAAACGUUCUGUUAAUGGCAUCAAUUUUUCAAAUGAGAGAAGGUAAAAAGGAAAAGAUAAAAUAAUUAACUUCCGUAUCAUUCAUUCAAGUUUAUUAGAUACAAAGUGCAAUGGCCGUGAGUAUAAAAAAAGCAAUCGCGAAUAGGAAAUAUUAGUUUUAUCUGAUGCAUUAUCUAAAACUAUUAGAAAUUUCUUUCGCGCCUAAGAGAACCCGCAAUUAUAUUCAAAACAUAUGAUGUUGAUGCAGGAAGCUACAUGUUGCAUAAUUUAUCAGCGUCUUAAUAAUUUUAAAUCACAUGUGUCAUUUAAAUUACAAAUAAAUGCUUAUUGCGACAAUAGUGGACGAAACUUCUACUGGGGCUGUCUAAAAGCUGCCGGAUGAUCGUAGAAAAACUGAAGGAGGAGGAUACGCUCCUGUUCGCAGUCAGAAGUAACUUAUCAGAUCCUUGAUGUCAAUGGCGAGAUAGUGCAGGACAAUUAGGUUCCCUCUACAAAUUGUUUCAUCGUACCAGAUGUUAUCUCGUCUUAAUAAUCAGGUCUCAUUCAUUGUUCCACGAUGUUUAUUAUUGUCUCACAAGCGGCGAUAAUAGUCUCACAUGACUAGAGUCUCGGUGUCGCUUCCGGUGUAUGCAUUCUCUUCAGUCGAUGAUCGUAAACGAUACAUCUCGAAAAUGUGCCAGGAGCAAUAUACAGUUAAUUCGGCGCAAUAUAAUGUUUCUUCCUUGAAUCAUAAAUUCUUAAACAAAGGGAAUUUUUUCUUAGAAUUUAUUCUUAAAAUUGUGUUGUCAUAGAAUAAUAUGGUAGGGGAAAAUUGCUUAACGUUAGUCGUCUAAAUCGUAUUUUGUUAAUAUAAUAAAACUUAAAUGGAUUCGGACUCUACCUUGUUUUGGAGAAGUUUUUACCAUAAUUUUAUAAAAUUUAGAAAAAUUUAAACAAAUUAUUUUACAGUUGAUUGUAGUACAUAUUACUAACAGUCAGAGAAAAUCAUAAAAUUUCCUCGAACCACCCUGUUGUGUCUACAUAGAUUUUAAAAGGAUAAAUUACAAGAGAAAAAAAUCUUUGUAAAUAUAUCUCAGGUAUCGAUAUAUCUCUCUGGAGAAGAAAGGAUUGACUGCUCGCGAUAUUACACAUCCAAUUAAAUCCUCAGGCAAUCCGAGAGAGAUCGACGAUUAAUAAAGCGGGGAGGACAAUCCAGGAAGUGCGAGAAUCGCGGCAUCUCGUCAGGAUGAUGCGGAGGAUGGAUCGAUGAGGAGGCUUCCAUACCGCCUCCCCGAGCCUCGUCUUGCGGACGAGAGGUCGCGAUUUUUUCGCAACGCUCGACGCCCACCCUGGGAUGAUUUAUUCGAAUUAUAAAUCGGCGAGACUCCCACGUAGAGACGCGUGCAACGUGCUGCCUUACCGCUCCGUUCGUGGGAGGUCGAACGCGUCAAUUAUUCCGCGACCCACGCCGCGCCGGCCGGGUUUGAUUUGUACACGUGAAAGUGUUAGAGCAUGUCACGAACCUUCGUGCGCCUAUCUUUCCGCACGCGUACGCGUACGAUCCGCUUGAUCCUUAUCCGGGGAAAGAAGUGUUUUACUUAAUCGAAUUGAAAGGCGAUUUUCACUGCUGCAGUAAUUAAUUUAACAGUGCGGAAGUGGCACUUGCGCGAAUUUAUCAUUUCUGGUGGGCAGUGUUUUGAUCAGUAUGUUCAUUAUAUCUUAAUUUAUCACUUGCUGUACGCAAUACUUUUGACCAAAGUCAAUAUAUUUAAUUUUUUACAUUUGUUAUUUUUUGAAAUUAUGUUAUUAAUUCUUUCGUACACCCGAAGAUAUUUUAAGUUCAAUGGAUUGCAUCUGUGAAAGAUUAAUCUUUGGUAAUUAAAUUAUUUUCUUUUUUUUCAAAAUAAAGCACGUUUAUUUUACAAAUUGAAAGUAAUAUGGUCACGAAUUUUUAAAAUAUUUUAAGCAGAUGGAACAACGAUUGAAUUCGAAACUUCUGUUUGCACGCUGUUUUUCACAAUAUAUCGUAAAGAAGUUUAUGUCGCUUUUAAAUUAAUAAAUAUCAAACUUGAUUGUUACUAAUUUAUAAAAGCUGGCUCCAGACUUUUGACAGUGCAAGUCUCGUUGCUACGCUCGUUUCCUUUGUUCGCGAAGUAGCACAUAAAUACGUGGAGAUGAAUGGUUCGGAUGGAAAAAGAAACGAAAGAUAUGAAGAAAAGUCGGAGACGUUGUCGUUGCGUUUGCGGGGAGUGCGAUCGGCCGCGCAUCGUCACAAAUAUGAUUAUACUCAUGCGGAAAGUAUUCUCAUUAAGUCGAGCCUUGUGGAAUAGAAGCUAUAAUCAUCAAGAUUCUUGCACCUGCAGGACCGGCUGCAACGACCGCUCGUCGUUCUCGGUGCAACGACGAUGACGACGUUUCUCCAGGGAGUAAGAUCGAUGCACCGCUCAAUGUAUUUUUACUCCGGUCGAUUAUUUUUACUUGUAUCCUGACGGUGGUAUCUCAAGUGUCCGCUCGGUACGAGAUCGGCUUGUACGAGAAAAAACUGUACCUGCUUCUUACACUGUUUGGAGCAACAUUAAUUGGAUAACGUAUUUACGCGUUUUAAUACAAUAUUUUAAUAAAAUAUAUUUCACGUAAUAUAAAUAAUAUACAUGAUUUAUAAUUAUUACACUUUAAUUAUUAGCUACAUAAUCACGCAAUUAUUCUAUGACGUCGUAUAUUCUAUGACGCGGCGUUUGCACUUACUAUUCGCAGAAUAGUAAGCUAAUUUCUCCGUCCCUCUUUUUUCUUUUUUUUAUUUUCUUUGUUCGUCUUUAUUUCCCUCGGAUAACCGCGCGACCGUCGUCGUAUAGCCCGCGAAACGAGUUUUGCAACUAGGCGACCUCCGCAAGGCGAACGAAGCUGCGGAUCGGGAGAACUUUGUCUUUCUCUUUUCUUUCGUGAACUCCCGAUGAAAAGGAGGAACACGAAAGACGAUCGAAAGAAGUCCCGCGCGCACGUUUGCAGUCUCCGUGUAUACGGAGAGUACAUGCCGAUGAUCGUCUCGUAAUAAAAUCAGAUGAUCGCGUCUCGCGGAUUCCGCUCUCGCGUGCAAGCGCGAAGGUAAUCAACCCACAUAAGCGAGUAAAUGCCCCGACCGCCAUCGGCGCGAGGAACGGAAGAGAGUGCCGCGCUACCAGAGAGAAUUCACGCAGGUAAAUGCGAGAGAUCCGCGACGUACGAGCAUGCAAGCCUCAAAUUGCAUCGGCGACAUGAUGCGCUAAUGAGGAAAGAGAACAUGAAGAGCAUAGAGAUGCGUCGUUUACGCGUACGUAAAUAAAUACAAAACGUCAUUAAAGACACUACCGGCUGGUACAUAAAAUAAAAAAAAUAUAAGUAUGCGCUAGGACUAAUGACACGCUCGGGUAUCCCGGAUAUUCGAAGUACGGAUAAUACCUGGGUACCCGUAUUCAUUGACACAAUCGUGUAUAAUAUUCGUAUCUUUUUUUUUACACAUAUAUUGUGAACUAUGCUAUUUUCUAUAAGAAGAUGAGAUUUUUAAUUCCACGAUUAACUGCAAUAGUUGCAACUUUUUUAAAAAUAUAUAAAAAUAUUUAUAUAUAUAUUUUUAAUUGUAUAUACUUUUUUAUUUAAAUCAUUUUUUAUGUAUAGCAAAAUGUUAUAAACUAUAUAAAAUGCGCACGUGGAAAAAACGAUUUUACUGAAGUAUCUAAAAAUUUGACCAGAGCUGUACAUAUCUGAAAAUAAUAUUUUCCAUAGACCAUCCGGGUAAUAUGAGUACACGAUUAUGUCAGCGAAUAUUUGAUACCAACUGUAGUCGCUGAUAAUGUAUUUUGGACAGUGAGCGGAUAUUCGAAUAUCUCACUGACCCAAUCAGUCCUAAUUGACACGUGGAGAAAAAUCUGACACAUUUACACCACAUAUGAAAAAUAACAUAAUGAUUAUAUAAAAAAAAAAGGAAAAA
RNAcentral lists this long non-coding RNA (10430 nucleotides) under Monomorium pharaonis (pharaoh ant). RNAcentral describes it as "uncharacterized LOC114254991". The record is from RNAcentral. Lineage: Eukaryota; Metazoa; Arthropoda; Insecta; Hymenoptera; Formicidae.